This is a long non-coding RNA of Hermetia illucens (black soldier fly), 396 nucleotides long. RefSeq lists it as uncharacterized. The transcript is spliced from 3 exons. Lineage: Eukaryota; Metazoa; Arthropoda; Insecta; Diptera; Stratiomyidae. The record is from RefSeq and is a predicted model, not a curated record.
AUCCACACAGAUAAAAGUUGUAGAGAAUCGUUCAGAACCAAAAAAUAAACUUUUGAAUUGGUCCGAUUUAUCAUCCGACUUGAAUAUUGUUGAAAAUAUUUAGGGAAAGCAGGAGUGGGCCAGAAAUACGAAAAAAAGACGUGGGUUUUAACAGCAUUCGAAUUUGCACUUGGCCCUUAGGAGUUAAAGUAAAUACUGAAAAAACUAGUCAGCAGAUAAAACUGAAGAAAUUAUUGAAUAUUUAUUCCGAUAUAAGAAAAUAAAUUUUCGAGCCAAAUAGUUUUAAGCAGAAGCAUAGAGGCAAUGAAAACAAAAUGCAUAAUCGAAUGUGAAAUACACCAUGAAGGAAGUGACUGAAAUAAUAAACAAGUCGGGAAACCGGAAGCUGGAGGCUUC